CACUCCUACGGGAGGCAGCAGUGAGGAAUAUUGGACAAUGGGUGGAAGCCUGAUCCAGCCAUCCCGCGUGCAGGAAGACGGCCCUCUGGGUUGUAAACUGCUUUUAUCUGGGGAUAAACCUACUUACGUGUAAGUAGCUGAAGGUACCAGAAGAAUAAGCACCGGCUAACUCCGUGCCAGCAGCCGCGGUAAUACGGCGGGUGCAAUCGUUAUCCGGAUUUAUUGGGUUUAAAGGGUCCGUAGGCGGACUGAUAAGUCAGUGGUGAAAUCCGACAGCUUAACUGUCGAACUGCCAUUGAUACUGUUAGUCUUGAGUAAGGUGGAAGUGGCUGGAAUAAGUAGUGUAGCGGUGAAAUGCAUAGAUAUUACUUAGAACACCAAUUGCGAAGGCAGGUCACUAAGUCUUAACUGACGCUGAUGGACGAAAGCGUGGGGAGCGAACAGGAUUAGAAACCCGGGUAGUCCC
This 466-nucleotide ribosomal RNA is filed under the name uncultured organism. RNAcentral describes it as "partial 16S ribosomal RNA". It matches the Rfam family "Bacterial small subunit ribosomal RNA", at positions 334 to 797 of the family's 1533-position model. The record is from RNAcentral.